This 491-nucleotide ribosomal RNA is filed under the name uncultured bacterium. RNAcentral's name for it is "partial 16S ribosomal RNA". It matches the Rfam family "Bacterial small subunit ribosomal RNA", at positions 29 to 507 of the family's 1533-position model. The record is from RNAcentral.
AGUGAACGCUGGCGGUAGGCCUAACACAUGCAAGUCGAACGGCAGCACAGUAAGAGCUUGCUCUUACGGGUGGCGAGUGGCGGACGGGUGAGGAAUACAUCGGAAUCUACUUUUUCGUGGGGGAUAACGUAGGGAAACUUACGCUAAUACCGCAUCCGACCUACGGUUGAAAGCAGGGGAUCUUCGACCCUUGCGCGAUUGAAUGAGCGGUGUCGGGUUUAGGAGUUGGGGGGGGAAAGGCCCCCCCAGGGCACGGACCGUAAGUGGCCCUGGGGGAUGAACAGCCAAAAUGGAAAUUAGAAACGGGCCAGACUCCUAAGGGAGGCAGCAGUGGGGAAUAUUGGAAAAUGGGCGGAAGCCUGAUCCAGCCAUACCGCGUGGGUGAAGAAGGCCUUCGGGUUGUAAAGCCCUUUUGUUGGGAAAGAAAAGCAGCAGGUUAAUACCCCGCUGUUCUGACGGUACCCAAAGAAUAAGCACCGGCUAACUUCGUG